This 497-nucleotide ribosomal RNA is filed under the name uncultured bacterium. RNAcentral's name for it is "partial 16S ribosomal RNA". It matches the Rfam family "Bacterial small subunit ribosomal RNA", at positions 28 to 507 of the family's 1533-position model. The record is from RNAcentral.
GAUGAACGCUGGCGGCGUGCCUAAUACAUGCAAGUCGAGCGAACAGACGAGGAGCUUGCUCCUCUGACGUUAGCGGCGGACGGGUGAGUAACACGUGGAUAACCUACCUCUAAGACUGGGAUAACUUCGGGAAACCGGAGCUAAUACCGGAUAAUAUAUUGAACCGCAUGGUUCAAUAGUGAAAGACGGUUUUGCUGUCGCUUAUAGAUGGAUCCGCGCCGCAUUAGCUAGUUGGUAAGGUAACGGCUUACCAAUGCAACGAUGCGUAGCCGACCCAAGAGGGUGAUCGGCCACACUGGAACUGAGACACGGUCCAGACUCCUACGGGAGGCAGCAGUAGGGAAUCUUCCGCAAUGGGCGAAAGCCUGACGGAGCAACGCCGCGUGAGUGAUGAAGGUCUUCGGAUCGUAAAACUCUGUUAGUAGGGAAGAACAAAUGUGUAAGUAACUAUGCACGUCUUGACGGUACCUAAUCAGAAAGCCACGGCUAACUACGUG